GGAUGGCCGAGCCCCCUCCAUGUCAGGUUGGGAUGUAUGAGGAGUCCCUCAGGGCUGGCCUAAGGCUCCCCUUCUAUCAUUUCAUCAUAGAAACUUUUAGGUCUUUCUAAAUCAUUCUGUGUUCGGUAGCACCAAACUCAUGAUAGCUACUCGUCACCUUCCUUUCCCACUAUUUUAUAUUUGAAGUCAAUCCGACCAUCCAUCUCUUUCAGACAUGCUUCAUCUUUAAAGAGCACCCACG
This 241-nucleotide long non-coding RNA is filed under the name Elaeis guineensis (African oil palm). RNAcentral describes it as "long non-coding RNA (EGUI_LNC075120)". Lineage: Eukaryota; Viridiplantae; Streptophyta; Magnoliopsida; Arecales; Arecaceae. The record is from RNAcentral.